UACGUAGGGGGCAAGCGUUGUCCGGAAUCAUUGGGCGUAAAGCGCGUGUAGGCGGCCCGAUAAGUCCGCUGUGAAAGUCCAGGGCUCAACCCUGGGAUGCCGGUGGAUACUGUCGGGCUCGAGUCCGGUAGGGGAGCAUGGAAUUCCUGGUGUAGCGGUGAAAUGCGCAGAUAUCAGGAGGAACACCAGCGGCGAAGGCGGUGCUCUGGGCCGGAACUGACGCUGAGGAGCGAAAGCGUGGGGAGCGAACAGG
Molecule: ribosomal RNA, 253 nt
Filed under: uncultured bacterium
Lineage: Bacteria
Description: partial 16S ribosomal RNA
Rfam family: Bacterial small subunit ribosomal RNA
Source: RNAcentral